Engraulis encrasicolus (European anchovy) is the source of this 228-nucleotide long non-coding RNA. RefSeq lists it as uncharacterized. Lineage: Eukaryota; Metazoa; Chordata; Actinopteri; Clupeiformes; Engraulidae. The record is from RefSeq and is a predicted model, not a curated record. The transcript has 3 exons.
CAGGCCAGAGCAACUACUGAAUCCUCCUCUUCCAGCUGACCAAUCAGAGACUCAGGAACCAUCAGGAACAGGAUCCGCUGCCUAGUCACGCUGUAAUUGUUUUCCAGAGACAUGGUGUGUGCAGGUGUGAAGGAGAUUCUCCUGCUGGCUCUGAUGGUGACAGGGGUGCUUGGGGGGCUUGGGGAUCACCGUAAAAAUGACAAACGACCUGCCUCUGCCCAUCCAACG